RNAcentral lists this transfer RNA (92 nucleotides) under Kineosphaera limosa NBRC 100340. RNAcentral describes it as "Selenocysteine transfer RNA". It matches the Rfam family "Selenocysteine transfer RNA". The record is from Rfam by way of RNAcentral. Lineage: Bacteria; Bacillati; Actinomycetota; Actinomycetes; Micrococcales; Dermatophilaceae.
GGAGGCGCCUGGGCACCUGGUGGGCUCCUCGGUCUUCAACACCGAUGUGCGGCGGUAUCCGUCGCGGGCGGGUUCGAUUCCCGUGCGUCUCC